This 972-nucleotide long non-coding RNA is filed under the name Olea europaea (common olive). RNAcentral describes it as "long non-coding RNA (OEUR_LNC013133)". Lineage: Eukaryota; Viridiplantae; Streptophyta; Magnoliopsida; Lamiales; Oleaceae. The record is from RNAcentral.
ACUUCUCCACGAUCAAAGCCCUUUCCCUUUCUUUUUCCUUUCUCUCCCUCUUCAACCUCUCCUCCCUUGACUCCUCCACAGUCUUCUUUCCACCACUCUUUUUAUUUACCUUCAGUUUCUCAUCACCAUUUUUCUCAUCCACAUUACCACUUAUACGCUUAUCCAUAUACCACGACAAUUUCACUCCUUUUCCAGCCACCCCAUACCCCAACUUAUACUUUUCAUCCUCGGGUUCCACUACCGGCACGGAUUCCACCUUCAUCUUCUUAUUAGCAUUAUAACCACUAAAUUUCCCUUACUUCUCGUCUUCCUUUCCUCUAUCGAUUUUAAUUGGAUCGAAAAAUUUUAUCCCUUCAAACAAAUUUAUUUACUUAGAGUCGAAAUCAGAUUUGGGUGGUUCGGCAGUCGAUACAGUUUGGGUUGCUGUGGAUGGCUCCGAGGCUUGGGCUAGGCUUGACAAGCAGCGAGCUUGAGGCGCGAUUCGGCAUCUCGCUUUCGGGCUUGCUCGCGCUUCAGUUGCUCCUCCUUGGCGGUGGCUUCCUCGUCUUGCUUGACUUUCUCUCGGUUCUCGUAAUUGUACACAUUCCAACGCUUCUGCGGGAGAAUGUUUAGACCGCCAUUUCCUCCCAUGAUGGGUCUCUAUCGAUCAGAUGGAAACGAAUGGUGUGUUAUUUGAUUCAAAGAAGAAACCCUAAUUUGAUUAGAAUUGAAAAUGCUGUACAUGCAUAGAUUUGGGUUAAUUCAGAAAGAAACUCUAAUUUGAUCGGAAUCGAAAACACAUUUAUAACAGUAAACUAAAAUUUAAAUGUUUUUUCACACUUCGUCAUGGCUUAUCAAUCGGACAUUAGAACUCGUCCCAAUGGCCGCUGAAUUUUCCCUCCAUGGACGCAGUUACUAAUCGAUUUAAAUCCAUAUCCAAAUUGAAUUGAGACAACUGAAUUUGUAGCGUUUUAAAGAUUUUUAAGGGGGAUC